UGAAGACGCGGCGGCGCUCUAAAAGCAUCGCGUGCGGCCUCUCCUCCUUUUUUUUCUUCAGCCACAGGGCCCCUACAUAUGAACAUGUGCAAAAACAAGCAUCUUAUCUGCUCGCUCCCUUUUUCACGACGACACGAUAGCUGUACUUCGGUGUUCUACAUGAUGCUCUUGACGUCCACCCGUGUGGCCAUAGGUGUUUCGUCCUUCGGUGCUCAAUCCUGUGCAGUACGUUCUCACUGUUUCGUCACCAUUCAGUGUAGUGCUUAUUUUUGCUGACAGUGUAGCUUGCGUCUUCCUCUGCGCUUCUGUCAGCGUGUCGUCAUGCGGCUUCCCAGUUACCAGUUAUUGAGGAGGCCGGCAUACUGACAAAGGAGUUCGCCCAGCGGUUUUGAGAGAAUGACACUGUGUACACGGGCUGCGCAAGAAGAGAGGACCCCCACCAAUAUGUGUAAGAGCACUCGUGACGGUGCAAGAGAUGUAUCACAGCUUGUCUUGUGAGCAGCUUAAUGUCUGCGUGUGUUCUCUCCCGCACAAAAAGAUGCUGGCGUUCUUCUCGACGAGAGUCGCAGCGAUGCUACUCCCGCCACCCCUAGUGGGGCAAGGCCUGGCCCUGGCCGAAAGUCUGCUUGCAAGAUAAAUACGGCCUGCGAGCGUAGCGAAGACGCGGCGAAAUGUGCCCUCCCUGAAUGUGGGGUAAUGCUGUAGAGCACCUGCGACGAUCCGGAGCGUCAGCGAACAUACAUCACGUUCUUUUCGUCCCUUCCCCUUCUCUUUCUCUCCACACCGCCGCGCGACACCAUUGACGGAGCCACCGCUUCCCUUUUCUCUGAUCAAAUUUUCCAUCUUACGGUGGUGCCGGUACGGUUCUGCCUCCUCCUAAUUUCUCUUAUUGCUGUGUGUGUGGCCCCCUCUCCAUAUCUUCAGUUUCAAGUGACCCCUUCGAGAAAAAAAAGUGCUCGCCGUGCUCUCUUCAGACCCCAUGCACUGCCUGCAUGCACCCUUUGCGCUGUUGGCAUAAUAUGCACUGGAAUGGUGGCCCCUCUCUCCCUUUCGCUUCGCAUGCCAAGCAGCUAUGACCACAUUCUCUGCUGAAAUACCUCCCCUUUCUCCGCCCUUUUCCCAGCGACGCCACCCCUCUUGUUCUUUGUCUUCUCGGCGCUCCACGACACAG
Molecule: unclassified non-coding RNA, 1171 nt
Filed under: Leishmania donovani
Lineage: Eukaryota; Euglenozoa; Kinetoplastea; Trypanosomatida; Trypanosomatidae
Description: gene:unknown
Source: RNAcentral